RNAcentral lists this unclassified non-coding RNA (420 nucleotides) under Hevea brasiliensis (rubber tree). Lineage: Eukaryota; Viridiplantae; Streptophyta; Magnoliopsida; Malpighiales; Euphorbiaceae. The record is from RNAcentral.
AAACCAGUUAUCAUUCUGUAAGCCUGACAUAUUCACGAAAGAAUGCCAUAUUAUAUUCCAUUCAUAAAGUUAAUCUAGCAAUUCUAAACAACUGCAUGUUAGAUUCAAACUAGGUACAAUCUCCUUGACUCAAAUGAGAGCUUGUGAAACACCAUUAUAGGAGAUAAGCACAAAUACAAUCAAAAUAUAGCAACUUAACCCUUGUCAAACAACAAUAAAUUGAGUUGUAAGGAAGAAAGAGCCACCAUGAUUUGUCCUAAUGAUCUUCAACAUACAAGUGGAAAUAAAUUCAUGUUGCUUUUAAAUUAGCAUUAAAAGAUUAAUCAAGAGUUCUAUUCUUACAAAUUAAUUAUUUUUACAGAAUUUAGUGGUCCUGAAGCACAAGAAUAGUAGGCACAUUUCGGUCCACGCAAAGAAAAA